This 405-nucleotide ribosomal RNA is filed under the name uncultured Acetobacteraceae bacterium. Its description in RNAcentral is "bacterial SSU rRNA". It matches the Rfam family "Bacterial small subunit ribosomal RNA", at positions 354 to 776 of the family's 1533-position model. The record is from RNAcentral. Lineage: Bacteria; Pseudomonadati; Pseudomonadota; Alphaproteobacteria; Acetobacterales; Acetobacteraceae.
GUGGGGAAUAUUGGACAAUGGGCGCAAGCCUGAUCCAGCAAUGCCGCGUGUGUGAAGAAGGUCUUCGGAUUGUAAAGCACUUUCGGCGGGGACGAUGAUGACGGUACCCGCAGAAGAAGCCCCGGCUAACUUCGUGCCAGCAGCCGCGGUAAUACGAAGGGGGCUAGCGUUGCUCGGAAUGACUGGGCGUAAAGGGCGCGUAGGCGGAUGGCACAGUCAGAUGUGAAAUUCCCGGGCUUAACCUGGGGGCUGCAUUUGAUACGUGUGAUCUGGAGUGAGGAAGAGGGUUGUGGAAUUCCCAGUGUAGAGGUGAAAUUCGUAGAUAUUGGGAAGAACACCGGUGGCGAAGGCGGCAACCUGGUCCUUGACUGACGCUGAGGCGCGAAAGCGUGGGGAGCAAACAGG